This 967-nucleotide long non-coding RNA is filed under the name Ananas comosus (pineapple). Its description in RNAcentral is "long non-coding RNA (ACOM_LNC025535)". The record is from RNAcentral. Lineage: Eukaryota; Viridiplantae; Streptophyta; Magnoliopsida; Poales; Bromeliaceae.
GUAUGUUGGAUGUGAAUGCUAAAAACUCUAUUUUCUAGUAAUUUAAGCUAAUCAAUUGUUUCUAACACAAAUAGUAAAGAAUUUGAUAGUUAAUAUUCGAGGUCUAGAAUUCGAAGUCAAAUUAUUUUACAUUUUCAGAUAAGUUUAUUUCUAAAAUAAAGUAAAUGAAGCAGAUAGUAUGCAACUUUUCUCUAGCAACCAAAAAUAAUAAUUUAAGCUUUUUUUUUUUUUUAUCAAAAACAUUAGAGAAAGAGGUCCUUGAGUUUGAUUCCCGCUAAAUUCGCCAAUUUAAUUUAAUGUCCUGAGCCUAUCAGACACUCUCGAAUCCAAGCGGAAGGGGAAUGUCGAAUAUUAAUCUAAAAAAAAAAAAGAAUUAAAAAAAAUUAUGUUUUUACAGCUUUAGCAUUUUGAAGGAGAAUAAACAUUGUUUACUAUAAUAUAUCUAGAAUUUAGAAUAAUUCUAUAUAUAAUGUGUAGUCGUGUAUCUUUUAAUUCGAUUAUAGUAUUUUCGGUGGUUGUUAGACCCAAAAAGAUUAACUUGACCAAGCGAGUCUAGGGCUAGAGCUAGUAGUUCUAGGAUGGAUGACCCACUCCCAGAAAAAUGUGUCACCAUUGGUGUCAGAGCUAAUCAUCAGCAGUAAAUAUGAGAUGAGUCUUGACUGAGUCAGAAUUAUAUAGCGGACAAGAGAGCAGCUCUCUGUCGAUGACCAUUGUGGGUGAAUGUAGCUCUCCAUAAGACCAGUUAACACUAGCGAGACGAAUCUCACAUCGCUUGGUGCUUAUAAGUAUACUUGAGUUUAACGAGGGCAUCAAAACAUAAAAGGUGAGAAAAUGUGAUUUCAAGGAUUUGAAAGUUGUAAUAGGACUACAUCUUUUAAAUCGGCUAUAACAUUUUGAGUAGUAGUUAGGUUCAAGAAGUUAAAAGGGUUGAGCAAGCUUAGUGCUAAAAUAAUUCUAGAAUAGAUGA